GCAUAUCAAUAAGCGGAGGAAAAGAAACCAACGGGGAUUGCCUUAGUAACGGCGAGUGAAGCGGCAAGAGCUCAAAUUUGAAAUCCCCUUGGGGAGUUGUAAUUUGUAGGUUGUGACCUGAGCAAGCAACACAAGUCUCCUGGAACGGAGUGCCUUAGAGGGUGAGAGCCCCGUAAGUUGUAGCUCAUUGUAGGUUGCUUCCAAAGAGUCGAGUUGUUUGGGAAUGCAGCUCUAAGUGGGUGGUAAAUUCCAUCUAAAGCUAAAUAUUGGCGAGAGACCGAUAGCGAACAAGUACAGUGAUGGAAAGAUGAAAAGAACUUUGAAAAGAGAGUGAAAAAGUACGUGAAAUUGUUAAAAGGGAAGGGUACUAACUGAGACUUGGAGGUUAUGUUCAGCUGCCGUUCGCGGUAGUGUAUUCAUUUCUUCUAGGCCAGGGAGAGGUAUUGGGGUAAGAAAAAGAGGUAGGAAAGUGGCUCCUCGGAGUGUUAUAGCCUACUUUAAUAUUGCCACUGGUGCCUCAGGACUGCGCUUCGGCAAGGUCUCUGGCGUAAUCAUUUAGUACCGCCCGUCUUGAAACACGGACC
This 584-nucleotide ribosomal RNA is filed under the name Geotrichum sp. RNAcentral's name for it is "partial large subunit ribosomal RNA". It matches the Rfam family "Eukaryotic large subunit ribosomal RNA", at positions 38 to 667 of the family's 3401-position model. The record is from RNAcentral. Lineage: Eukaryota; Fungi; Ascomycota; Dipodascomycetes; Dipodascales; Dipodascaceae.